CAACGUACACAAUCUGCCUUAUACUGGGGCAUAUCCUCGGGAAACUGAGAGUAAUUCCCCAUAACAUAUUGAAAAGGCAUCUUUUUAAUAUUAAAACUCCGGUGGUAUAAGAUGAGUGUGCGCCUGAUUAGCUAGUUGGUGAGGUAACGGCUCACCAAGGCAACGAUCAGUAACUGGUCUGAGAGGAUGAUCAGUCACACGGGCACUGAGACACGGGCCCG
This 221-nucleotide ribosomal RNA is filed under the name uncultured bacterium. Its description in RNAcentral is "partial 16S ribosomal RNA". It matches the Rfam family "Bacterial small subunit ribosomal RNA", at positions 113 to 334 of the family's 1533-position model. The record is from RNAcentral.